This 527-nucleotide ribosomal RNA is filed under the name uncultured bacterium. RNAcentral's name for it is "bacterial SSU rRNA". It matches the Rfam family "Bacterial small subunit ribosomal RNA", at positions 48 to 507 of the family's 1533-position model. The record is from RNAcentral.
AUUAGGCAUGCAAGUCGAACGGUAUAAACCUUCGGGGUUUAGAGAGUGGCGAACGGGUGAGUAACACGUAGGUAAUCUAACCCUCAAAACGGGGGACAAACCCAGGGGAAAACUUGGGCUAAUACCGGAUGCGUGCAAGCAAUGUUUGGCUGUUAAUGCUAUUCACGGAAGUGAGUAGUGUUAAUGGUUGAGAGCAUUAUUUGCAUAAAAGGUGGCCAUAUGCUGCCGUUUGAGGAUGAGCCUGCGUCCUAUUAGUUAGUUGGUGAGGUAAUGGCUUACCAAGGCGAUGAUAGGUAGGCGGCCUUAACGGGUGGUCGCCCACACUGGGAUUGAGAGACGGCCCAGACUCCUACGGGAGGCAGCAGUCGAGAAUAGUCUACAAUGGACGGAAGUCUGAUAGUGCGACGCCGCGUGAACGAAGAAUCCCUUCGGGGUGUAAAGUUCUUUUAUACGUGAGCAGUGCCCUUUAUAUGAAUAGUAUAGAGGGAGGGAUUUAAGCGUAUGAAUAAGCAACGGCUAACUCCGUG